Callithrix jacchus (white-tufted-ear marmoset) is the source of this 2501-nucleotide non-coding RNA. Lineage: Eukaryota; Metazoa; Chordata; Mammalia; Primates; Cebidae. The record is from RefSeq and is a predicted model, not a curated record.
GAAACGGUGCAAACCUUCUUGCACUCCAUAAAUGAUUCAUUUCCUUCAAAAGUCCUAUGCUGUUUUCCAGCAGAAUCUCCAUUAUGUAUGAAUCAGGAUCCUGGCUGACAUUUUCGGCCUCGGCUGUUGCGAGCUUUCCCGUCAGAAGUACCCUUCCCACGGGGCCUAAAGCAGUCAACUCAGAUUCAGAUGGCACAUCCUGGCUCACUUUCUCUGCUCUGUGGUUCCAGUAUCCACCCUGCUGUUCACCACCCAGAUUAGUUUGAAACUGGGCAGUGAUCUGUGCUGUGCUGAUGCCAAGUGUUUUCACACAUGUGUGGUUUGGGGGUGAGCUCAGGGCUUCUUAUGUGGAUUUAAAGGAUCCCUUCUCCAGCUCCCGCCUCUCCAUGAUCUUCCCUAUACUCUCUGCUUCCCCAUGUUCCCCUUUCCAGGUGUUCUGAUUAGAAGGCUGGGGCUCUAGCCUGUCACCCUGCACUGUCGCCAGAGUUCCGCCGUGAGGGUCCACUGCUGCUGUGCUGGUGAAUGGGGAUGGGGCUUCACCUAUUUGGUGAUGCUCGGCUAAUGUGCAGUGGAAAGAGUCCAUGGGUCUCCACCCCAGGGGGGCUGCUGCUGUGUCUCUGGGGAGAGGAAUGGACACGUUGUUUCUGCUUGGGCAAGGUAGAUAAAGGCAAAAGAGUUCAAUCCACAGGAUUCCUCCUUCCUGGGUCUUUCGCUAAAGAGAGCAAGCUUUUCUGUUUGAUCCUGUUUUUCCUUCUUGUCUGUGCCUAUUGGUGGUUUCAGACUACUCCAGUGCCCAGGCUAGGAGACAAAAUUCCAAAAACUGAAAAUCCAGACAAGUCAUUGCCAAGGUGUCUUUAAAGUCCUCCCUACUCAGUCCUGCUGCCCUUAUCUACAUUUUCGAGUCCCAUGAUAGCUGUUUCAUGAGUUUUAUGCAGGAUUUGUACCUGUGAAUAGUGGGCAAGGGUGUAGUGUGCCUUUUCCGUCUUGCCUGGAAUUGGAAGUUCAAGCUUCUGCCUAUUAAGUGGCCUUGUCUAUGUGUGUGGCAGUGUUCCCUGGGAUAGACCACCACUGCCCUUAGACAGCAUUCUGAGAGUGGUGGCCUCAGCCCACCCUGGUAACUUUGCUGUGGCCCCUCCCAAGACCCCCCACCCCAGCAGCACUAAGCUCAUGCACUCACUGUGGAUGCAGGCCUGCCUGCUGGGCCUUCCUGGUGGUUUUUUUUUUUCUUUGAGAUGGGGUCUCGCUCUGUCACCAGGCUGGAGUGCAGUGGCACAAUCUCGGCUCACUGCAACCUCCACCUUCCGGUUCAAGCUAUUCUCCUGCCUCAGCCUCCCAAGUAGCUGGGAUUACAGGCGCAUGCCACCACACCUGGCUAAUUUUUGUAUUUUAGUGGAGAUGGAGUUUCAUCAUGUUGGCCAGGAUGGUCUCAAUCUCUUGACCUCAUGAUUCACCCACCUUGGCCUCCCAAAGUGCUGGGAUUAGAGGCAUGUGCAACUCACCUGGCCCUGGUGGUUUUUUCCCCAGGCAAAGCACCUGUCUCUGCCUCCUGCUGGUUUGUUCAACAGUGUCCCAGGGUUUGCUCCUUGCUUGCUUUGCUUCAGGCCCUUCUAUCAACUUCCAUUGUCUUUGACUCAAUGGUCUUUGCAGGAUAGGCACAGCCAUCUGCAUGUUCACUAAAGGGCCUGCCUACAUUUCCAGGGAGAGAAAGGCUUCAGGCCAUUGGUGCAUAAAGAUCUUCAGAAAUGUCCGGAAUAUCCCAAAAAUUGCCUCCCUCCUGCCUGUCCUGCAUGCCAGGCCUUCCUUUCCACCAGCCUGCCUCCCAGCCGCACAUCCAGCUGUCAUUUCCUAGAACUCCCAUCCCAGGCAGUUGUUUUGGACACAUAGCUUUCCUUUGGGAAUGUGUCCCUGUGGCCGCAGGUGGAGUAGAGAGUACAGCAUCCUGGACUAUCUGAUUGGCUGGAGUCACCCUCAAUGCGCAGCAGGCCAGUUAUGGUUCCUUUCUGUGUCUUUUUUCCCCCUCCGUCAAAUGAGAGUUAUUGCAGAAACCUUUUAGUGCUGUGUUGGGAUUAGCAGUGAUAGUUUGGCAUGUGGUAGAUGCUCAGGAAAUGGAAGCUGCCCUUUUUUCUUAGUGGAAAAGGAGGGAUUUUGUUUUUGGGACAAUUCCCCUCCUCUGCUGCUGCAUAGCGACCCCGGGGACCUUUCUGAAAUUGGACGAGGGCACAGUGGUUGCCCGUAAUCCCAGUGCUUUAAGAAGCCAAGGUGGGAAGAUCACUCGAGGCCAGGAGUUUGAGACCAGCCUGGGCAACCUAGUGAGACCCUGCCUGUACAAAAAAUAAAUUGGCUGGACGUGCUGGUACACACAUGUAGUCCCAGCUAUUCAGGAGGCUGAGGCGGGAAGAUCGCUUGAGCUCAGGAGUCUGAAGCUGCAGUGAGCUAUGUUCAUGCCACUACACUCCAGCCUAGCCAACAGAGCAAGACCCAUCUCUAAAAAUAAAAUAAAA